CCUACGGGUGGCAGCAGUGGGGAAUAUUGCACAAUGGGGGAAACCCUGAUGCAGCGACGCCGCGUGAGUGAAGAAGUAAUUCGUUACGUAAAGCUCUAUCAGCAGGGAAGAAAUACUGACCUUACGGUCAGCAGACGGUACCUGAGUAAGAAGCCCCGGCUAACUACGUGCCAGCAGCCGCGGUAAUACGUAGGGGGCAAGCGUUAUCCGGAUUUACUGGGUGUAAAGGGAGCGUAGGCGGAAUGCCAAGUCAGCGGUAAAAUCGCGGGGCUCAACCUCGCUCCGCCGUUGAAACUGGCGUUCUUGAGUGGGCGAGAAGUAUGCGGAAUGCGUGGUGUAGCGGUGAAAUGCAUAGAUAUCACGCAGAACUCCGAUUGCGAAGGCAGCAUACCGGCGCCCAACUGACGCUGAAGCACGAAAGCGUGGGUAUCGAACAGGAUUAGAUACCCCUGUAGUC
RNAcentral lists this ribosomal RNA (457 nucleotides) under uncultured bacterium. Its description in RNAcentral is "partial 16S ribosomal RNA". It matches the Rfam family "Bacterial small subunit ribosomal RNA", at positions 338 to 795 of the family's 1533-position model. The record is from RNAcentral.